This 253-nucleotide ribosomal RNA is filed under the name uncultured bacterium. Its description in RNAcentral is "partial 16S ribosomal RNA". It matches the Rfam family "Bacterial small subunit ribosomal RNA", at positions 524 to 776 of the family's 1533-position model. The record is from RNAcentral.
UACAGAGGGGGCUAGCGUUAUUCGGAAUUAUUGGGCGUAAAGGGCGCGUAGGCGGCCACGCGUGUCUUUCGUGAAAUCCCUCGGCUUAACUGAGGACGUGCGGAAGAAACUGCGAGGCUUGAGUCCGGGAGAGGGGGGUGGAAUUCCCAGUGUAGCGGUGAAAUGCGUAGAUAUUGGGAGGAACAUCGAUGGCGAAGGCAAUCACCUGGGCCUGAACUGACACUGAGACACGAAAGCGUGGGUAGCAAACAGG